ACACCCGUGUUUGUAAGUGUUAUGGGUUGCGACCGAGCUUAGCGCUGUUCAUUUUUUUACACAAUAGCCCUGUAAAAAAUUGCACACGCCUCUCUGCACACCCCAUGGCAGCACGCUUUCACGGCCCCUGAGACAAGCCGAAAUGCCCCAAAAAUGGCCGCCUUGCACCAUCAACGGGCAG
Molecule: small RNA, 181 nt
Filed under: Pseudomonas citronellolis
Lineage: Bacteria; Pseudomonadati; Pseudomonadota; Gammaproteobacteria; Pseudomonadales; Pseudomonadaceae
Description: Pseudomonas sRNA P1
Rfam family: Pseudomonas sRNA P1
About the family: There appears to be two related copies of P1 sRNA in the P.aeruginosa PA01 genome and both copies appear to be located upstream of predicted glutamine synthetase genes. This sRNA appears to be conserved amongst several Pseudomonas species. P1 has a predicted Rho independent terminator at the 3' end but the function of P1 is unknown.
Source: RNAcentral